This 2844-nucleotide long non-coding RNA is filed under the name Homo sapiens (human). RNAcentral describes it as "HSALNT0072839". The record is from RNAcentral. Lineage: Eukaryota; Metazoa; Chordata; Mammalia; Primates; Hominidae.
AGGACCGUGUCCACUCAUGCUGGACUUCUCUUCAUUCCUGGAGGAAGCCACUCUCUAGUCUGCCUUAAGGACAGAGCCAAAGACAGAUGACAGCUCUCAACCUGAUGUGCUGGCUACAGUGGAAAGCCGUUCUGUGUAGUCACUGCUGUCCUUUUUAAUCCAGAUAUGUAUGUAAUUGUUGAACUUCAGAAUGGGAAAUGUCUCUUCCAGUCUAUCAGUGCCAGGCAAAGUAGGGUGAUUAUGAGUCUUAGAGUAGGCCAAAUAUGCUUAAACUUUGUUCUAGUUUCAGCUGCAAUGGAUUCUGUAUUAAAACAGUAGGGAGGAGGCUAUGGAAAUCUUGCAAUUUAACUUACUACUUCUCCUUGGAACUGACCUCCCUCUAGACUCCUGGCCCUCAUUAUAGUUUUGAAACUAAAUCUAGUCAGAUUUUCCUUUACUACAAAGGCCCUUCCUCUUAAUUUGGCCAUAAUUCCCAAAUAUACCACUGUAGGCAGCUUUGCUUCCCUAACAGGAAUGUGAAAUUGACUCUGCUUGCUUUAGCCAUCAUUGAAAAUGUCUGUGAGGGUCUUGGUUUCCCACAUGAUACAAGGCUUACCUCCUUCCUCCAUCUUUCCAAAUGAGACUGGAAGAUUCAAAUAAAAUUUGGAAACUUCAGACUAGUUUCAGGAUCAGAUACAUGAUUAACCAAUCUGCUUUAAGACAUAAAUUAAAUGACGAUAUUUAACCUCAGAAGAAAAUUAAAUUGUUACCAGAGGGAAAAAUAACUCUUAGGUAUAUGGUGUGUUUAUAUGAGAACAACCACGUUCUCUUUUCUCAAAACCAUGAAUUGGUGAUCCUAUGUUUUGAGGAUUAACGAAGUCACCAUAUUAAACCAAUAUCAUGAUAUCAGCCUGAGUACCACAAAACAAACAAACAAACAAAAACAACAAAAUUGUUCUCCCCAUCUUGCUUCCAGACUUAUUCCUCUUUCCAAGAACUCAAAUGCCUAAGAAUCUAGCCUUCUUUACAAAAGAUCAUUAAAUUAUAACCACAGAAACUUAAUAAGCAGAGUCAUAAUUUUGACAGUUUUUCUAUAAAAUACAAAAGAUAUAAAAAAAAUAGACAAAAUCAGGUCUUCAACCGUAGCUUUGAAAUGUGAAAAUGUGGGGCAGCAGUUAAUCCUGGAGGGCUGAGGCCAGUAGGAUGUCAUCAUUUCAAUUCUGCUUUAUGUAUAGUUUGCUGCCAUUUAGCUGAUUCCAUAUCACAAUAGAGAGGAAAAACACUUGCACUGAAGGAAAUUAGAAUAUUUCAGUUUUAAAAUACAAUUAAUAUGACACAAGUAUUUCACCCUUCAUUUUACAGAAAAACAAAACUCGACAAUGAAUGCAUAAACCAACCAAAAUGAGUUCAUUUGAGAUUUGGAAGAGUCAGUGGUACGUUAGCCAGUGAAACUCUUCCAGGAUAGAGAAUGAUAUAGUCUAUGGCAAAGGACUUAAAGAAUUUGAAAAAGUAUUGCAAUAAAUUAUAAUUUGCACCCCUCAAAAUUUUUUUCCAAUCUCUAUUGACUUUGUCUAGUAAAAAUGAACAAAAAUAUUUGUGUUGAUCAACAUGCAGUAAAGAAGCAAACUUUGCAGUAGAAUGCAAGAAAAAAAUGUUAAAGCAGAAUAGAAAGAUUAGGGUGCUGGCAUGAUUCUGUGAUCAAGAAAUCCUAGACAGAAAUAGUACUUUUUACAUUUGAGUAUGAAUAAUUAGAAAAACCUAAAAUGUAAAAAAUCGUGUACAUUUGGAUGAAACAAACAUUUACAGCAUUUGGGAUAGAAAUAAAGAAUUUUCCUAUGAAUUAAUAUAUAGAUGCAAGUUAUGGUGUUAAAAUAUUUGCAUCUUUUGAAAUUUUAUUAUGAGAGUAAAGUGUUCUUUAUGGGACUGCUCAGUAAUUGGAUUUUUUGGUUAUCCAUUUGAUACUUAAUAUUUGCUUGUGAGCUAACUGGUUUGACUACCAUGCAAUAAUAAUAAAUACUUUUCAUUUCAUGCAUAAUAAUUAUUAUUGAAUAAAUGAGAAAUGAAUAAGAUAAUGGAAUAAGUGAGACAACACUGGUAGAAAACAAGGCCGAGAAUAAGUUGGAAUUCAUAAGGUCAGAAGGAAGCCGUGUGAGAAUGUAGCAGUAGGCUCAUCUUGAAUUAUAUUCAUUGAGGAAACAGGGGACUACUAUAUCAUUCUCAUUGUCUGCACACAGUGUUAGAACAAAGUGGAAUAAAGUUAAUGUCUUCAAGGGAGAGAAAUCCGUCAUUUUCUUGACUGCAAAACUGCAUCCAUAACUCUAACAGGACAUCUUACAACUUGAAACAUAUGGCCAACAAGCGCUGGCAUAUUGCUGAAAGUAAUCUGACUGAGCAGGCAACUUUCACCUUUCUGAUGAAAGUAACCAUAACUCCUGGAGUUGAUGUAAUUUUGUGAUUUAAGGACCAAUCUUAAUCACACUUGGACACCCUGCUGCUUUUCCAAGAGUACUAUGCAAAUUGGGUAAUGCUAUUUGUUCAGGUGUUUCUUUUUUUUUUUUUCAAAUUGGACCCAAAUUGAAUACAUCUUAAUGUUAUUUUUCUUUUUGCCUGCAAGUAAUACACUCAUAUAGGCAUAUAUAGAAAAAAAAAUUGUGAGUUUAUCACGGUGAAAUCCCAGUUUGCUUUGAGAGGAAGUUAAGAGGGAGUUGAUCAAGUAUUUAGUCUAUGAGUAACACAUCCUUUCACAAUGUGAAGAUAUUAAGGUUUUUAAUUCAUGUCUGGGAAGAGUGAUAGUCAUUUGUGAGUAGAAAAGUAAAUUAAUGUACCUAUAUUUUUAUGUAUUUUUCCUAUAGUAGAAAAAACUGG